CCAAUGAAUGCCUUCAUUGGCCCAGUGACGUAAUUUCUACCUCCUCAGCAUGCAUUAAGCCAGCUAGCUAUCCCUUCACUCCCAAAUGCAUCUUCCCCGAAUAACGCAACUUACAGAACAGAUUUGACAAGAUAUAAUCAUGUGGGUCAAGUUACAGGAGCCUUUAUAGUCAUGGUGUCGCCAACUUUUAAACUAAAUUAAAAAUGGCGGAAUUACUGUUAGAUUUAAUAUAUUGCUCCAAGAGACUUUUUUUGUAGAGCUUUGCCUUUUGCAUGUACAACAUAAAUGUUCAUAGAUCUAGGUGAAAUGUACAAAUGUGACUGCUUUGUUAAUAAUUUAUAGGGAGCAUGAGUGAGCCAUUUUGUAAAAAUUCCACAAUAAAUUCAUAAAAUAUUGGUGAGUUUGCCAAGCCUGA
Molecule: long non-coding RNA, 415 nt
Organism: Hippocampus comes (tiger tail seahorse)
Lineage: Eukaryota; Metazoa; Chordata; Actinopteri; Syngnathiformes; Syngnathidae
Exons: 2
Source: RefSeq, a predicted model, not a curated record